RNAcentral lists this unclassified non-coding RNA (181 nucleotides) under uncultured Eurotiomycetes. RNAcentral describes it as "sequence contains ITS2". The record is from RNAcentral. Lineage: Eukaryota; Fungi; Ascomycota; Eurotiomycetes.
UCACCCCUCAAGCCCCCGGCUUGGUGUUGGACGGUUUGGUCUUAGUGACAGAGACCCCUCCUAAAAUCAAUGACGGCGGCCUGUUCGACCCCCGGUACACUGAGCUUCUUAACUGAGCACGUAUCGGUCUAAGUGGUAGGCAGGGCCCGGUCUUCUUCCUUAACCGGAAAAUUCUUUCCAA